CAAAGUGCACCGCCGUUGCACAUGACCUGCAGGUUCACAGCUGUGAAUCACAGCACUCACUGCUUUCUUCAUACAUUUGAACUAUCCCUGAAUGACAGGUACGAAUUCAUAGCAAAUCCUAACAUGACCGAUGCAACUCAGCCAGCAACUCUUACCAUGGAAAAGGGUCCAACAGUCUAACGUCAGAAAAAAUGGACACACAAAUGUUAAGCGCAUGUAAAUGUACCACAAUACAGCCACUAUUGUCUUCUUAUUAAAGCGCUCAAUCCUCGCCUCCGCUGAUGUCAUCUUCACGAACGACGGCAUAUAUCUGCAUAUGAAAGGAUCACAACAAAUCAUUGUUUAGGCAGGAACACAUAGUUGUGAGCAUGUUACGUACAAUGACGGCUGUAGGUGUGACACCGGCAUAACGUGCCUCGAAAUAAGGCAAUAAAAAGCAUUUAGUUAAUAGCCAUGGUCUUGCAACCAGAGGCUUCAUACCUCCGAACGGCCGCUACGUGGCCUGCCACGUCCCGUUUGAGCCCGACUCUUGUUCAUAUCCUUACCACCAUCCUUGCGCUUGUCCUAUUCCUUGCGGUUCUCCUGCUCGUGUCCUUGGAAUGUAAAAUGACAAGGCAUAAUGUCAGUGUAUGCACCUGCAUGAUGGCCACUUACUGCCGGUGCCGUCUAGUCCCCCUUUUCCUGCUUUCCCCUGCUUGCCUGCGAAUGAAUGGUACGCCAUUAUAGAGGAAGAAAGACAGAUUCUUGUUAUGAAGAUGCUAAUUCAUUAGGCUUUACCUUACACUGUCGUCAUUGGAGGAUCAGCGUGAGUAUAAGCAAUGCAUACGCGCUAAACAACAAAUUCAAGAUAAUCUUAUUAGUGCAAUGCGCGCAAUGAAUUACUGCCCUGAGGACACGGGCAGCACUGGGCCUUACGCCCAACUUACUCCCAACUCCCAACUAACCCUCUUACUUAACGCAAGCUCGCAUAAGUUGUUGCGCCAGAGAUAAAUGCCAAAGGAGAAGAUACCCCCUCUAACGGUUGAAAUACUGAAC
RNAcentral lists this long non-coding RNA (1035 nucleotides) under Volvox carteri. RNAcentral's name for it is "long non-coding RNA (VCAR_LNC003996)". Lineage: Eukaryota; Viridiplantae; Chlorophyta; Chlorophyceae; Chlamydomonadales; Volvocaceae. The record is from RNAcentral.